AGAGUUUGAUCMUGGCUCAGGACGAACGCUGGCRGUGUGCUUAACACAUGCAAGUGGAGCGACGAACCAGGGCUUGCCCUGGGGCAGAGCCGCGAACGGGUGAGUAACACGUGGGUAACCUACCCCGAUGACCGGGACAACCCGAGGAAACUCGGGCUAAUACCGGAUGUGCCCGACGUUCAUGAGAACGUCGUGCAAAGGAAGCUUCGGCCUCCGCAUUGGGAGGGGCCCGCGGCCCAUUAGCUUGUUGGUGGGGUAACGGCCUACCAAGGCUGCGAUGGGUAGCUGGUCUGAGAGGACGAUCAGCCACACUGGGACUGAGACACGGCCCAGACUCCUACGGGAGGCAGCAGUGGGGAAUCUUGCGCAAUGCGCGAAAGCGUGACGCAGCAACACCGCGUGAGGGAAGACGGCCUUCGGGUUGUAAACCUCUUUCAGGAGGGACGAAGGCAGGCCGGUUAAUAGCCGUGCCGGCUGACGGUACCUCCAGAAGAAGCUCCGGCUAACUACGUGCCAGCAGCCGCGGUAAUACGUAGGGAGCAAGCGUUGUCCGGAAUCAUUGGGCGUAAAGCGCGCGUAGGCGGCCCGAUAAGUCCGCUGUAAAAGUCAACGGCUCAACUGUUGAAAGCCGGUGGAUACUGUCGGGCUAGAGUACGGAAGAGGCAAGUGGAAUUCCUGGUGUAGCGGUGGAAUGCGCAGAUAUCAGGAGGAACACCUAUAGCGAAGGCAGCUUGCUGGGACGUUACUGACGCUAAGGCGCGAAAGCGUGGGGAGCGAACAGGAUUAGAUACCCUGGUAGU
This 800-nucleotide ribosomal RNA is filed under the name uncultured bacterium. Its description in RNAcentral is "bacterial SSU rRNA". It matches the Rfam family "Bacterial small subunit ribosomal RNA", at positions 8 to 794 of the family's 1533-position model. The record is from RNAcentral.